GCGGUAAAAUGCGUAGAUAUUAUGGAAGAACACCAGUGGCGAAGGCGGCCGCCUGGCCUGUUGCUGACGCUGAGGCACGAAAGCGUGGGGAGCAAAUAGGAUUAGAUACCCUAGUAGUCCACGCCGUAAACGAUGAGGACCAAGUGUUGGGGGUGAAACCUCAGUGCUGAAGUUAACGCAGUGAGUCCUCCGCCUGGGGAGUAUGCACGCAAGUGUGAAACUCAAAGGAAUUGACGGGGGCCCGCACAAGCGGUGGAGUAUGUGGUUUAAUUCGAAGCAACGCGAAGAACCUUACCAGGCCUUGACAUGGGAUGCGAAGACGCAGAGAUGCGUUGGAGGCAAACAUCCACACAGGUGGUGCAUGGUUGUCGUCAGCUCGUGUCGUGAGAUGUUGGGUCAAGUCCCGCAACGAGCGCAACCCUUGUGGCAUGUUGCUAACAGGAAAGCUGAGGACUCAUGCCAGACUGCCGGUGACAAACCGGAGGAAGGCGGGGAUGACGUCAAAUCAUCAUGCCCCUUAUGGCCUGGGCUACACACGUACUACAAUGGCGGCUACAAAGAGCGGCGAGACAGUAAUGUCGAGCGAAUCUCAUAAAAGCCGUCCCAGUUCGGAUUGGAGCCUGCAACCCGGCUCCAUGAAGUUGGAAUCGCUAGUAAUCGCGGAUCAGCAUGCCGCGGUGAAUACGUUCCCGGGCCUUGUACACACCGCCCGUCAAG
Molecule: ribosomal RNA, 717 nt
Filed under: uncultured bacterium
Lineage: Bacteria
Description: bacterial SSU rRNA
Rfam family: Bacterial small subunit ribosomal RNA
Source: RNAcentral